This 887-nucleotide ribosomal RNA is filed under the name uncultured bacterium. RNAcentral describes it as "bacterial SSU rRNA". It matches the Rfam family "Bacterial small subunit ribosomal RNA", at positions 75 to 957 of the family's 1533-position model. The record is from RNAcentral.
GGGGGCAACCCUGGCGGCGAGCGGCGAACGGGUGAGUAAUACAUCGGAACGUACCCAGGAGUGGGGGAUAACACAUCGAAAGAUGUGCUAAUACCGCAUACGCCCUGAGGGGGAAAGCGGGGGACCGCAAGGCCUCGCGCUGUUGGAGCGGCCGAUGUCGGAUUAGCUAGUUGGUGGGGUAAGGGCCUACCAAGGCGACGAUCCGUAGCUGGUCUGAGAGGAUGAUCAGCCACACUGGGACUGAGACACGGCCCAGACUCCUACGGGAGGCAGCAGUGGGGAAUUUUGGACAAUGGGGGCAACCCUGAUCCAGCCAUUCCGCGUGAGUGAAGAAGGCCUUCGGGUUGUAAAGCUCUUUCGGCAGGAACGAAACGGCGGGCUCUAACAUAGCCUGUCAAUGACGGUACCUGAAGAAGAAGCACCGGCUAACUACGUGCCAGCAGCCGCGGUAAUACGUAGGGUGCGAGCGUUAAUCGGAAUUACUGGGCGUAAAGCGUGCGCAGGCGGUUUUGUAAGACAGCUGUGAAAUCCCCGGGCUUAACCUGGGAACUGCGGUUGUGACUGCAAGACUAGAGUGCGGCAGAGGGGGGUGGUAUUCCACGUGUAGCAGUGAAAUGCGUAGAGAUGUGGAGGAACACCGAUGGCGAAGGCAGCCCCCUGGGUUGACACUGACGCUCAUGCACGAAAGCGUGGGUAGCAAACAGGAUUAGAUACCCUGGUAGUCCACGCCCUAAACGAUGCCAACUAGGUGUUGGGGAAGGAGACUUCCUUAGUACCGUAGCUAACGCGUGAAGUUGGCCGCCUGGGGAGUACGGUCGCAAGAUUAAAACUCAAAGGAAUUGACGGGGACCCGCACAAGCGGUGGAUGAUGUGGAUUAAUUCGAUGC